Molecule: ribosomal RNA, 395 nt
Filed under: uncultured bacterium
Lineage: Bacteria
Description: partial 16S ribosomal RNA
Rfam family: Bacterial small subunit ribosomal RNA
Source: RNAcentral
AAUAUUGCACAAUUGGGGAAACUCUGAUGCAGCGACGCCGCGUGAGCGAAGAAGGACUNCGGGUCNUNAAGCUCUGUCCUAAGGGNGGAAACGGACGGGACCUUAUGAGGCAGCCCCGGCUAACUACGUGCCAGCAGCCGCGGGAAUACGUAGGGGGAGAGCGUUAUCCGGAAUUACUGGGCGUAAAGGGUGCGUAGGCGGCCUUUUAAAUCAGAUGUGAAAAUCUACGGCUUAAACGUAGUUAGCAUUUGAAACUAAAAGGCUUGAGUGCAGGAGAGGAGAUUGGAAUUCCUAGUGUAGCGGUGAAAUGCGUAGAUAUUAGGAGGAACACCAGUGGCGAAGACGACUCUCUGGACUGCAACUGACGCUGUGGCACGAAAGCGUGGGGAGCGAAC